Hipposideros armiger (great roundleaf bat) is the source of this 2406-nucleotide long non-coding RNA. RefSeq lists it as uncharacterized. NCBI's taxonomy places the organism in Eukaryota, Metazoa, Chordata, Mammalia, Chiroptera, Hipposideridae. The record is from RefSeq and is a predicted model, not a curated record. The transcript has 2 exons.
CGUCUUCCUCUCCGCCUUCUGGCCGCCGCAGCUUUACGUUUUCUGGUCCCCUCCAACCUGGCUUCUCGGCUUCGGAAGUAAAAUCCAACUUGCGGGGUGGACCAAGGCCAAGAGCGCCAAGAACCCAUCGGCUCCGCGUUAGCAGCGUGGCUCCCCAGGCCCUUCGGUUGGUUCAUCGCUCGCUCGAGGCCGGGAGUGCCGCUCUCACCUGCCUUGGCCCUUGUGUAGCACCUCCGCCCGCUUGGGUGAGCAGAGGGCUGAGACCGAAAGAGCACGGGAAUCCGAAGCCGCGUUCCUCCCUUCGCUCCUAACCUGUGUUCUAGGCCAGGCAUUCCCUGUCUUGCGUGAGUUUCUGUUCAGUCGCUCAUAGAAUCAAUGACUGAAUCCACAGGAGUGUGCUUCUACCGCCGAGAAGGGGCCUUGUUCUCAGACCAGGCCACCCAAGGUCCCUACACCCAGUAAGCUUGCAUUCUUGGGAGAGGUGGAAGACGAUAUCGGAAAAACAAUCAGAAACCGUAUAAUUGCCAAUCCUGCUCAAUGCUGUGAGGAAACAAAAUAGGGUGUUGUGCCAAAAGUGGGGAGCUUUUUUAUAUGGCUGGUCCUGGAAGGCCUCGUUGUGGAGGUGACAUUUUGAGAUGAAACCUAGAUGACGGACGAGCUGCUUCAACUACAGGUGUAAAUGUCCAGAAGGGCCUUCCGGGCAGUAGGCGUGCAAGUACCCCAGGUGAGGAGCCUCCUUGGGGAUGAGUAAGGCGACAGAGGCCAAAAGACCUGCUGUGAGCCUCAAUUCCUACUUUCCCAUGGUUGUGAGCGUCUUGUGAUGAGAUGAACAGCUAAGGGCUUGCAGGGAGGUGCUACUCCAGUGACGGUCAUCCCAGCGGUAGUCAACAAGCCGGGAAGAAUCUCAGGUGCACAGGCACAUGCUAAUGAGGACCCUGCCUACCUUCUCACCCUGUUCCCCAAGCACAUUAACUAUAACUGGUUUAGACCAUUUUUUAAUUUACUUUUAUUGUUGCGCAAGAGACACAUAGGAGUUUUAGAGAAAUUAUAAAACAUAAAUCAGCAAACAGGCAACAAUAAUAAUUUGUCAUCUCAUUACCUAGAAGUACCCUCUGUUCAUCUUCGGGUGAUGACUAAGGCUGCUGCAGCAUGUCUGACCUGCAAACAGCAGAAACCAAAGGUGAGCCCCCAAUGUCCAACCUUCCCCCGCGGUCCAGCCAGCCACCGGGUGGCAGGUGGAUCACAUUGGACCUCCCAGUCGUGGGUUGGGGGAGAUGUGUCUUCAUUGGAAUAGACACAUCAGCUAGAUACCAAGUUGCCUUCCUUGCCCGUGAUGCUUCUGCCAGCAUCACCAUCCAUGGACUGAAAAAUAGCUUAUUCACCGUCACAGACUUCCACCUAAAACGGCUUCUGAUGAAAUAAUGUUUCUCCCAAAAUGCAUGCUCUGUACCCGGUUACAAGUCUGCCUGUAAGAGAAGCCACUGAGACAGGUCUUGGCCACUUUGCUUUUUUGAAGGAUGGAAGGCUCCAAUUUUGGGCUUGUAACAAUGGAAGCCAAAAAGAAAUACGAGUAUGUUUGGAAAGGAAGGACCCCAAGCCUCCCCUAUAUGUAUUUUUUAUUCUUGAAAACCCAACUACAGCAAGUCCUCAAAUGUGCCACCCUCUUCCUUUCCUCCAAUCCUUUGUUUACCUUUUCCUAGACUUCACCUCACUCUACAGUAGGGCAGGUAAACUUUUGCUCCCAUGCAGGUGAGAAGCCUUCCUAGGAAUGAAUAAGGAGAGGGAGGCAAAUGUCACCCAGGGGAUGAGGGCACCUUCAAGUCUGGAAGUUAGACCCCAACCCAAAUUCUAGUCCUAGCUUUGUGACUUUGAGCUUAGUGACCUUGGACAAUUUACUGGACUCAUAUCGAACCUCAGUUUCUUCAUCUAUGAAACGAGACACUGCUUCCUACCCUGCCUGCUUCAGACCUGGUCGGAGCACCAUUCAGAAAUCCAUGAUGAGGUGGCUCUUUGCAGCCUGUAACGUACUGUGCACUUUUACUACAUUACUCGAAGGCGUCUGGACAUAUGACUGUGGAAGGCAGCUCAAGUCAGGCGUGAUGGGGAACGAAUGAGCUCUGAGCCAAAUGGUGCUCACCUUCACUCCAGAUGGCAGUAAUUAAAGGACUUAGCUUCAACUGCUCUCCUUUGAAAAAGUGUUUCUUCUCCCUGCCUUGCAUUUUGCAAUUCUUACAUUAACCUUUACAUUUAUUUUGUGUGUUUCUUAAUGUAAUUUUUGUCUUUUUCUUUUAAAUGAUUACAUUAGGUAAGAUAUUCACUUCAUCUGUUUAAUGAAUUCAUUCCUUCAGCAUUUCAGUGAGCAUUAUUGAUUGCCUGUUUCAUGCACUGCUCUCUCUCUCUCUCUCU